This 447-nucleotide ribosomal RNA is filed under the name uncultured bacterium. RNAcentral's name for it is "bacterial SSU rRNA". It matches the Rfam family "Bacterial small subunit ribosomal RNA", at positions 355 to 825 of the family's 1533-position model. The record is from RNAcentral.
UCGGGAAUUUUGGGCAAUGGGCGAAAGCCUGACCCAGCAACGCCGCGUGAAGGAUGAAGUAUUUCGGUAUGUAAACUUCGAAAGAAUAGGAAGAAUAAAUGACGGUACUAUUUAUAAGGUCCGGCUAACUACGUGCCAGCAGCCGCGGUAAUACGUAGGGACCAAGCGUUGUUCGGAUUUACUGGGCGUAAAGGGCGCGUAGGCGGCAAUUCAAGUCAUCUGUGAAAUCUCCGGGCUCAACUCGGAACGGUCAGAUGAUACUGCUUUGCUAGAGUGCAGAAGGGGCAAUCGGAAUUCUUGGUGUAGCGGUGAAAUGCGUAGAUAUCAAGAGGAACACCUGAGGUGAAGACGGGUUGCUGGGCUGACACUGACGCUGAGGCGCGAAAGCCAGGGGAGCAAACGGGAUUAGAUACCCACGUAGUCCCUGAGCGGGCUGGCAAGGCGCAU